UACGUAGGGACCGAGCGUUGUCCGGAAUCAUUGGGCGUAAAGAGCGUGUAGGCGGUUCGGUAAGUCCGCUGUGAAAGUCCAGGGCUCAACCCUGGAAUGCCGGUGGAUACUGUCGGGCUAGAGUCCGGAAGAGGCGAGUGGAAUUCCUGGUGUAGCGGUGAAAUGCGCAGAUAUCAGGAGGAACACCAAUGGCGAAGGCAGCUCGCUGGGACGGUACUGACGCUGAGACGCGAAAGCGUGGGGAGCAAACAGG
This 253-nucleotide ribosomal RNA is filed under the name uncultured bacterium. RNAcentral's name for it is "partial 16S ribosomal RNA". It matches the Rfam family "Bacterial small subunit ribosomal RNA", at positions 524 to 776 of the family's 1533-position model. The record is from RNAcentral.